Molecule: ribosomal RNA, 518 nt
Filed under: uncultured bacterium
Lineage: Bacteria
Description: bacterial SSU rRNA
Rfam family: Bacterial small subunit ribosomal RNA
Source: RNAcentral
AGUUUGAUCCUGGCUCAGAUUGAACGCUGGCGGCAGGCCUAACACAUGCAAGUCGAGCGGAUGAAGAGAGCUUGCUCUCUGAUUCAGCGGCGGACGGGUGAGUAAUGCCUAGGAAUCUGCCUAGUAGUGGGGGACAACGUUUCGAAAGGAACGCUAAUACCGCAUACGUCCUACGGGAGAAAGUGGGGGAUCUUCGGACCUCACGCUAUUAGAUGAGCCUAGGUCGGAUUAGCUAGUUGGUAGGGUAACGGCCUACCAAGGCGACGAUCCGUAACUGGUCUGAGAGGAUGAUCAGUCACACUGGAACUGAGACACGGUCCAGACUCCUACGGGAGGCAGCAGUGGGGAAUAUUGGACAAUGGGCGAAAGCCUGAUCCAGCCAUGCCGCGUGUGUGAAGAAGGCCCUCGGGUCGUAAAGCACUUUAAGUUGGGAGGAAGGGCUCAUAGCGAAUACCUGUGAGUUUUGACGUUACCAACAGAAUAAGCACCGGCUAACUUCGUGCCAGCAGCCGCGGUAA